RNAcentral lists this ribosomal RNA (710 nucleotides) under Phloeoditica sp. HLF01. Its description in RNAcentral is "eukaryotic LSU rRNA". It matches the Rfam family "Eukaryotic large subunit ribosomal RNA", at positions 500 to 859 of the family's 3401-position model. Lineage: Eukaryota; Metazoa; Arthropoda; Insecta; Coleoptera; Curculionidae. The record is from RNAcentral.
GGCGUUAGGGGUAAACUGAGAAACCGAAAGGUCGAAGGGAGAAAUUCAUUCGCGUUUCGAUGUCGGCGUUAGGAGGUCGUCGUCUAUGAGACGGAUAGCGUUCGCGCGUUCCGCUCCGAUCUUCUUUCGAUCCGGCGACGAACGUGUGCACUUUUCUCCUGGUACGACGUCGCGAUCCGUUGGGUGUCGGUCUACGGCGUACGGUGGAGCCCAUCUGUCACGUUUACGCGUCGAUUGAUGGACCCGUACUGUCCCGGCCGACUCGCUCGACGGUAUACGAAUGGUUAAGGGCCGCUCUUCGGAGCGUUCGACUCUCGGCAAGCGCGUUAGAUGUUUGUCGGGAUCGGACCUAGUGCCGAUUCCGACCUCUGACGACUGUUGGCUGAGAUGUUCUCGAACAGACCCACCGAUUAAUAAAUUAACCGAUCUGCGGCGCUAUAGCUUUGGGUACUUUCAGGACCCGUCUUGAAACACGGACCAAGGAGUCUAGCAUAUGCGCGAGUCAUUGGGAAUCACUAAACCUAAAGGCGAAAUGAAAGUGAAGGUCUUCCUUGCGAAGACCGAGGGAAGACGAGCGGUUUACCCUUAAAAGUGACCGUUCCGCACUCCCGGGGCGUCUCGUUCUCAUCGCGAGAAGAGGCGCACCAAGAGCGUAUACGCUGGGACCCGAAAGAUGGUGAACUAUGCCUGGUCAGGACNAANUCGGGGGA